This 115-nucleotide ribosomal RNA is filed under the name Pteropus alecto (black flying fox). The record is from RNAcentral. Lineage: Eukaryota; Metazoa; Chordata; Mammalia; Chiroptera; Pteropodidae.
GUCUACAGCCAUGCCACCCUGAAUGAGCACGAUGUCUGAUCUCGGAAGCUAAGCAGGGUCGGGCCUCAUUAGUACUUGGAUGGGAGACCACCUAGGAAGACAGGUGCUGUAGGCA